Molecule: ribosomal RNA, 1026 nt
Filed under: Acinetobacter johnsonii
Lineage: Bacteria; Pseudomonadati; Pseudomonadota; Gammaproteobacteria; Moraxellales; Moraxellaceae
Description: bacterial SSU rRNA
Rfam family: Bacterial small subunit ribosomal RNA
Source: RNAcentral
GGCGGCAGCUUACACAUGCAGUCGAGCGGAGAUGAGGUGCUUGCACCUUAUCUUAGCGGCGGACGGGUGAGUAAUGCUUAGGAAUCUGCCAUUUAGUGGGGGACAACAUUCCGAAAGGAAUGCUAAUACCGCAUACGUCCUACGGGAGAAAGCAGGGGAUCUUCGGACCUUGCGCUAAAUGAUGAGCCUAAGUCGGAUUAGCUAGUUGGUGGGGUAAAGGCCUACCAAGGCGACGAUCUGUAGCGGGUCUGAGAGGAUGAUCCGCCACACUGGGACUGAGACACGGCCCAGACUCCUACGGGAGGCAGCAGUGGGGAAUAUUGGACAAUGGGCGGAAGCCUGAUCCAGCCAUGCCGCGUGUGUGAAGAAGGCCUUUUGGUUGUAAAGCACUUUAAGCGAGGAGGAGGCUACCUAGAUUAAUACUCUAGGAUAGUGGACGUUACUCGCAGAAUAAGCACCGGCUAACUCUGUGCCAGCAGCCGCGGUAAUACAGAGGGUGCGAGCGUUAAUCGGAUUUACUGGGCGUAAAGCGUGCGUAGGCGGCUGAUUAAGUCGGAUGUGAAAUCCCUGAGCUUAACUUAGGAAUUGCAUUCGAUACUGGUCAGCUAGAGUAUGGGAGAGGAUGGUAGAAUUCCAGGUGUAGCGGUGAAAUGCGUAGAGAUCUGGAGGAAUACCGAUGGCGAAGGCAGCCAUCUGGCCUAAUACUGACGCUGAGGUACGAAAGCAUGGGGAGCAAACAGGAUUAGAUACCCUGGUAGUCCAUGCCGUAAACGAUGUCUACUAGCCGUUGGGGCCUUUGAGGCUUUAGUGGCGCAGCUAACGCGAUAAGUAGACCGCCUGGGGAGUACGGUCGCAAGACUAAAACUCAAAUGAAUUGACGGGGGCCCGCACAAGCGGUGGAGCAUGUGGUUUAAUUCGAUGCAACGCGAAGAACCUUACCUGGCCUUGACAUACUAGAAACUUUCCAGAGAUGGAUUGGUGCCUUCGGGAAUCUAGAUACAGGUGCUGCAUGGCUGUCGUCAGCUC